Molecule: non-coding RNA, 136 nt
Organism: Hordeum vulgare subsp. vulgare (domesticated barley)
Lineage: Eukaryota; Viridiplantae; Streptophyta; Magnoliopsida; Poales; Poaceae
Source: Rfam
CACAUACUCCCUCCGUCUCAAAAUUCUUGUCUUAAAUUUGUUUAGAUAUGAAUGUNNNNNGUCAAGUUUUAGUAUUUAGAUACAUUCAUUUUUAGACAAAGCUAAGACAAAAAAAUUGAAACCGAGGGAGUACUAU